RNAcentral lists this long non-coding RNA (420 nucleotides) under Triticum aestivum (bread wheat). RNAcentral's name for it is "long non-coding RNA (TAES_LNC019321)". Lineage: Eukaryota; Viridiplantae; Streptophyta; Magnoliopsida; Poales; Poaceae. The record is from RNAcentral.
UCGGUGACCAGAGACUGACUGAGUGUGCUUGCAGUUUGAGGUUGAUUUUUUCUGGUAUACAUAUAAUUGGAGGUAUAUGGUAGCAAAAGAUAGUGGUAUACAUAUAAUUGGAUUUUUUUUCUUAAAUUAUUGAAAGCUAGAUAACUGGAGGUUGUGUAUUAUAAAAAUGAUGGACUAUUUGGUGUCACCUAUAACUGGUCUCGUCUUGUCUCUGUAGGUAGGCGCCAUGGACGCCGCUCUUGUGCUCAUCAAGGUCUGCUGCUCCUUGUUCCAGUCCCAUGACAAGCAGCAGCAGUAGCAUCAUGGUCUGCCCCCUCCCACCCUCUCCCAAUUUCCUCUCUUCGCUUCCCUGACCACGUCUCAUCUCUGUUGGGUCAAGGUUGGGUUGGAGCUACAGUGGCCAGCCACCGGGACGACACU